This 523-nucleotide ribosomal RNA is filed under the name uncultured bacterium. Its description in RNAcentral is "partial 16S ribosomal RNA". It matches the Rfam family "Bacterial small subunit ribosomal RNA", at positions 899 to 1397 of the family's 1533-position model. The record is from RNAcentral.
ACUCAAAUGAAUUGACGGGGACUCGCACAAGCGGUGGAGCAUGUGGUUCAAUUCGAUGAUAAACGAAAAACCUCACCAGGGCUUGACAUGCCUACGAAAGCUUUUCGAAAGAUUAGCCCUCUCACAAGGACGGAGGCACAGGUGCUGCAUGGUUGUCGUCAGUUCGUGGCUUGAGCUGUUCCCUUAAGUGGGGUAACGAACGCAACCCCCGUUGUCUGUUAUACGUGUCAGACGAGACAGCCCCAACCCCUUGCUUACAAGCAUAUGCUUGCGCGCAAAGGGUUGGGGAGGAAGGUGGGGAUGACGCCAAAUCAGCAUGGCCCUUUGAUGCCCUGGGCUACACACGUGCUACAAUGGCCGAUACAAUGGGUCGCGAAGUCGCAAGGCGGAGCCAAUCCCAUCAAAGUCGGCCCCAGUUCAGAUUGAGGUCUGCAACUCGACCUCAUGAAGUUGGAAUCGCUAGUAAUCGCAGGUCAGCUAUACUGCGGUGAAUACGUUCUCGAGUCUUGUACACACCGCCCGU